AGUCGAGCGGUAGCACAGAGAGCUUGCUCUCGGGUGACGAGCGGCGGACGGGUGAGUAAUGUCUGGGAAACUGCCUGAUGGAGGGGGAUAACUACUGGAAACGGUAGCUAAUACCGCAUAACGUCGCAAGACCAAAGAGGGGGACCUUCGGGCCUCUUGCCAUCAGAUGUGCCCAGAUGGGAUUAGCUAGUAGGUGGGGUAACGGCUCACCUAGGCGACGAUCCCUAGCUGGUCUGAGAGGAUGACCAGCCACACUGGAACUGAGACACGGUCCAGACUCCUACGGGAGGCAGCAGUGGGGAAUAUUGCACAAUGGGCGCAAGCCUGAUGCAGCCAUGCCGCGUGUAUGAAGAAGGCCUUCGGGUUGUAAAGUACUUUCAGCGGGGAGGAAGGUGUUGAGGUUAAUAACCUCAGCAAUUGACGUUACCCGCAGAAGAAGCACCGGCUAACUCCGUGCCAGCAGCCGCGGUAAUACGGAGGGUGCAAGCGUUAAUCGGAAUUACUGGGCGUAAAGCGCACGCAGGCGGUCUGUCAAGUCGGAUGUGAAAUCCCCGGGCUCAACCUGGGAACUGCAUUCGAAACUGGCAGGCUAGAGUCUUGUAGAGGGGGGUAGAAUUCCAGGUGUAGCGGUGAAAUGCGUAGAGAUCUGGAGGAAUACCGGUGGCGAAGGCGGCCCCCUGGACAAAGACUGACGCUCAGGUGCGAAAGCGUGGGGAGCAAACAGGAUUAGAUACCCUGGUAGUCCACGCCGUAAACGAUGUCGACUUGGAGGUUGUGCCCUUGAGGCGUGGCUUCCGGAGCUAACGCGUUAAGUCGACCGCCUGGGGAGUACGGCCGCAAGGUUAAAACUCAAAUGAAUUGACGGGGGCCCGCACAAGCGGUGGAGCAUGUGGUUUAAUUCGAUGCAACGCGAAGAACCUUACCUACUCUUGACAUCCAGAGAACUUUCCAGAGAUGGAUUGGUGCCUUCGGGAACUCUGAGACAGGUGCUGCAUGGCUGUCGUCAGCUCGUGUUGUGAAAUGUUGGGUUAAGUCCCGCAACGAGCGCAACCCUUAUCCUUUGUUGCCAGCGGUCCGGCCGGGAACUCAAAGGAGACUGCCAGUGAUAAACUGGAGGAAGGUGGGGAUGACGUCAAGUCAUCAUGGCCCUUACGAGUAGGGCUACACACGUGCUACAAUGGCGCAUACAAAGAGAAGCGACCUCGCGAGAGCAAGCGGACCUCAUAAAGUGCGUCGUAGUCCGGAUUGGAGUCUGCAACUCGACUCCAUGAAGUCGGAAUCGCUAGUAAUCGUAGAUCAGAAUGCUACGGUGAAUACGUUCCCGGGCCUUGUACACACCGCCCGUCACACCAUGGGAGUGGGUUGCAAAAGAAGUAGGUAGCUUAACCUUCGGGAGGGCGCUUA
RNAcentral lists this ribosomal RNA (1404 nucleotides) under Enterobacter sp. LP1MF. Its description in RNAcentral is "16S ribosomal RNA". It matches the Rfam family "Bacterial small subunit ribosomal RNA". Lineage: Bacteria; Pseudomonadati; Pseudomonadota; Gammaproteobacteria; Enterobacterales; Enterobacteriaceae. The record is from RNAcentral.